This is a long non-coding RNA of Trichechus manatus latirostris (Florida manatee), 185 nucleotides long. RefSeq lists it as uncharacterized. The transcript is spliced from 3 exons. The record is from RefSeq and is a predicted model, not a curated record. Lineage: Eukaryota; Metazoa; Chordata; Mammalia; Sirenia; Trichechidae.
GUUACAGAGAAGAAACAUCUACAUCUUCAUGUCCAUUCUAUUGUGUGGACAAACCAUCAGCUGGAACAGCGAGAUGCAAAAAUCCCGAGCCUUCAAAGCCAGCUCCUGCAGAAGAGAGAGGGUCUGGCAGCUGAGCUGGAUGCUUUAGGAGCAGAGGAUCUAUCAACUGCAGACCAAGCAUAGGG